RNAcentral lists this long non-coding RNA (1977 nucleotides) under Gossypium barbadense (sea-island cotton). Its description in RNAcentral is "long non-coding RNA (GBAR_LNC011242)". The record is from RNAcentral. Lineage: Eukaryota; Viridiplantae; Streptophyta; Magnoliopsida; Malvales; Malvaceae.
GAAAACUUUCCUAGUCUGGUUCACACACCCAAUCGAACCUUUUUGUUUUUCAGCGUACUCAGGGACCUCCAUUUCUAGGUAUAUUUCCUCUAUUCUUUUUAGAGCUUCUGUUGCAAGAAGAUGUGCAAGAGUAUUUGUAGAUCUCGGUGUAUGUUUGAAUCUGAUAUUCUUAGAACUAUUUAUCUUCUGUUGGAUAUCAUAUAUAUAUGCCACUACCAAUGAUCGAUCUUGACCCUUUGUGUUGCAUUUCUUUAUUAUUGCGAGGGAAUCUCCUUUGAAGAUGAUUGACUGCCAUCCCUUUUCGACUCCUAUUUGAACUACUUUCCAACAGGCUAUUCUUCAGUAGCAAAUGCAGAGGUUAUGCCAUUAUGGAUCUUUGAGCAGGAUAAAAGAACUUUUCCUUCUGCAUCUCUAACCACAAUACCUGAAGUCGAAUGAUUUUGACUCCCGUUGUAUGCACUAUCGAAGUUAAUCUUGAUGAACUCAUAAGGUGGGUGUCUCUAUCUUCUGUUUUUUGUUAUUUUUACUGAUUUUUUUUUCAAAACCAGUAAGUUCAGUAAUGUAGUUACUUGUUGCGACGUAAAAAAAAAUUAGUUUCGCUUGGUCGCUAAUUGUGGCGAUUUAUUAAACAUUUGAAAACCAACUUUUGAUUUUAUUAGCAAAGGGAGCCGCCACCGAUCCUUUUUUAUAGGUGUGAUCGGACACCUAAUAAAAUUAUUUUAAAACAAAAAGAAGGCCAAAUUUAGGUCUACGUGAAAGUUCAGAAAAAAAUUGGGGUUCGGGAGUCAGUUACGCGCGAGGAAGGUAUUAGCACCCUCGCGACGCCCAAAAUUGGUAUCUCAUAAACAUUUGUUGACUUGAUUUUUAAAAAUACGAGUUCAAUAUAAUAUUUAAUCGUGAUCCGAUUGAAAAAUGAGAAUUUUUAGUUUUCGAUUUUUUUUAGAAAGGGUGUCCCGUUUUUUAACACAAGCCGAUGAAUUUCACCCAACAUAGCGAUGAAAUCGAUGGCUUAAUAUUAAAUCGGUACAUUGCCUCAUUUUUGAAAUUAAUUAAAACAUGAGAAAAAAUAUUCCUAAAGUGAGAAAUUAAAAAUAGAUAAAGGACGCAAAAAAAAUGAUAUCAUUAAUGAAAAAUAUUAACAUGGAAUACUAGAAUAUUAGAAUAACAAUAAUAAUGAUAUUUACAAAAUAAAAACAAAUCAUGUACUAAUAAUAAAAUAGGAAAAAUGAUAUAUUUGGUAAUAAUAAUAUAAAAUAAUAAUAUGUACAUAAAAAUACAUAUAUAUAUAUAUGCAUAUAAUAAAAGUAUGUAAUAAUAAUAAUAUCUACAAUAAAAGAAAAUAUUAGGAAACGUACAUAAAAAAUAUAUACACUAAUAUAAUAAUAUUUAUAAUAAUACUAGCAAUAGUAAUAAUUUGUAAUAAUAAUAUAUACACAAUAUGGUAUUUAAAAUAUAUAUAUGUAUAUAAUAGUAUUUAAGAAUAUAUACAUAAGAAAUAUAUAACUAAUGGCAUUAAAAAAUAUAUACAUAAUAUAUAUAAAAUACCUAAAAAAAAGAAGGGGGAAAGAAGAGAGAAGGGAGGGGGGAAAGGAAAUCCGACCAAGGGGGGCCGGUCACCGGUCGAUCGUCGGUCGCCGCCCGUCGUCGGCCACCACCGGCCACCGUGGGCGGUAAAAUUUUUUUAACAAUAUAUGUAUAUAUAAAGAAAGAAAAAAAACAACACAAAAAAAAAGAAAAAAAGAUUCGAAAGAAGAGGAAAAAGGAAAAAGAUGCAACCUUUUUAUUGAUGUUUCUUUUGUGUUCAAAAUUUGAAGGGAUUUUUGUAUUUUUUUUUCAAUCUUUGUAAAAUCCCCCUUACAUGAUUUUGAAUGGCUUUUUAUAGCCAUCUUUUACAUGAUUUUCUAUUAUUUCUUUUUCUAUUUUGUAGGUGGUGGUGGUAGACAAUGGAUAUCAAAAAUGGGAGGAAAAAUGGGGCAA